Molecule: ribosomal RNA, 253 nt
Filed under: uncultured microorganism
Description: partial 16S ribosomal RNA
Rfam family: Bacterial small subunit ribosomal RNA
Source: RNAcentral
UACGUAGGGUGCGAGCGUUAAUCGGAUUUACUGGGCGUAAAGCGCGCGUAGGCGGUGCGGUAAGUCAGGGGUUAAAGGCUGCAGCUCAACUGCAGUAAGGCCUUUGAUACUAUCGCGCUAGAGUACCAGAGAGGAUGGCGGAAUUCCCGGUGUAGCGGUGAAAUGCGUAGAGAUCAGGAGGAACACCGAUGGCGAAGGCAGCCCCCUGGGCCUGUACUGACGCUCAUGCACGAAAGCGUGGGGAGCAAACAGG